UACGUAGGGUGCGAGCGUUGUCCGGAAUUAUUGGGCGUAAAGGGCUCGUAGGCGGUCUGUCACGUCGGGAGUGAAAACACGGGGCUUAACCCCGUGCCUGCUUCCGAUACGGGCAGACUAGAGGUAUGCAGGGGAGAACGGAAUUCCUGGUGUAGCGGUGAAAUGCGCAGAUAUCAGGAGGAACACCAAUGGCGAAGGCAGCACUCUGGGACGUGACUGACGCUGAGACGCGAAAGCGUGGGGAGCAAACAGG
RNAcentral lists this ribosomal RNA (253 nucleotides) under uncultured bacterium. RNAcentral's name for it is "partial 16S ribosomal RNA". It matches the Rfam family "Bacterial small subunit ribosomal RNA", at positions 524 to 776 of the family's 1533-position model. The record is from RNAcentral.